AUGCCUCCCCUGCAACUGCUCUCCGACGAGCUCCAGCAGCUCCGCCACGUUCCGGUGCCGCAGGCUGACCUCAUCUUCCUUCUGCCCUAUUGCUGCCGCUGUUUUCGCCUGUCAACGAACGAGCAGCGCCUUCAGGGUUUUUCGCCAAGUCCCUCUCCGACUAGUGUACCACUACCGUCGACAAAGAUAUGUGCAUCGCAAGCCUCAAGUUCAACUACCGUCGACCGCGAAGGGCUCAGAGUCAUCAAGCACCUCUCCGAACGAAUGGGAAUGACUACCGUCGCAAAGAUCGAGAGUACCUCUACGAAAACGCCAAGUACCCCUUCAUGUCGGCAAGACCCGCAAGUCGAACCCCGAACGAUCGACGACUCGUGGACCAUGUACAACUUCAGGCGCCGAACACCGAGUAGCACAAAUGCCAAGUACCCCCAGAGACCACUUGGACAUCAAGUACUGUCGAACCGUGAAGACUCUGUGGACGUCAAGUUCCUCGCCUGA
RNAcentral lists this ribosomal RNA (498 nucleotides) under Triticum aestivum (bread wheat). RNAcentral's name for it is "partial small subunit ribosomal RNA". The record is from RNAcentral. Lineage: Eukaryota; Viridiplantae; Streptophyta; Magnoliopsida; Poales; Poaceae.